CCAUGUCCACACCCCACCGUCCCCAUGUCCACACCUCACCGUCCCCCGCGUCCACGCCCCACCGUCCCCCGCAUCCACCCCCCACCGUCCCCGCAUCCACACCCCACUGUCCCCACGUCCACCUCCCACCGUCCCCAUGUCCACACCUCACCGUCCCCCGCGUCCACGCCCCACCGUCCCCAUGUCCACACCCCACCAUCUCCAUGUCCACACCCCACCGUCCCCCACAUCCACACCCCACCGUCCCCAUGUCCACACCUCACCGUCCCCAUGUCCACACCCCACCAUCUCCAUGUCCGCACCCCACUGUCCCCAUGUCCACACCCCACCGUCCCCCGCGUCCACACCCCACCGUCCCCAUGUCCACACCUCACCGUCCCCCGCGUCCACGCCCCACCGUCCCCAUGUCCACACCCCACCAUCUCCAUGUCCGCACCCCACUGUCCCCAUGUCCACACCCCACCAUCCCCCGCGUCCACGCCCCACCGUCCCCAUGUCCACACCUCACCGUCCCCCGCGUCCACGCCCCACCGUCCCCAUGUCCACACCCCACCAUCUCCAUGUCCACACCCCACUGUCCCCAUGUCCACACCCCACCAUCUCCAUGUCCACACCCCACCGUCCCCCACAUCCACACCCCACCGUCCCCAUGUCCACACCUCACCGACCCCGUGUGCACACCCCACCGUCCCCAUGUCCACACCCCACCGUCCCCAUGUCCACACCUCACCGUCCCCCGUGUCCACACCCCACCAUCUCCAUGUCCGCACCCCACUGUCCCCAUGUCCACACCCCACCAUCCCUUGCGUCCACGCCCCACCGUCCCCAUGUCCACACCCCACCAUCUCCAUGUCCGCACCCCACUGUCCCCAUGUCCACACCCCACCAUCCCCUGCGUCCACGCCCCACCGUCCCCAUGUCCACACCCCACCAUCUCCAUGUCCACGCCCCACUGUCCCCAUGUCCACACCCCACCAUCUCCAUGUCCACAUCUCACUGUCCCCCGUGUCCACACCC
Molecule: long non-coding RNA, 1017 nt
Filed under: Canis lupus dingo (dingo)
Lineage: Eukaryota; Metazoa; Chordata; Mammalia; Carnivora; Canidae
Description: lncRNA (ENSCAFG00020005408.1)
Source: RNAcentral